GCUGGGCGUGGUGGCUCACGCCUGUAAUCCCAGCACUUAGGAGGCCGAGGUGGGUGGAUCAUUUGAGGUCAGGAGUUUGAGACCAGCCUGGCCAACAUGGUGAAAUCCCAUCUCCC
RNAcentral lists this small RNA (116 nucleotides) under Pongo abelii (Sumatran orangutan). Its description in RNAcentral is "Metazoan signal recognition particle RNA (ENSPPYG00000037789.1)". Lineage: Eukaryota; Metazoa; Chordata; Mammalia; Primates; Hominidae. The record is from Rfam by way of RNAcentral.